AGAUACAGAGACGUAAAUCCCUACGAUCAUUCGCGCAUUAUCAUCCAUAGAGGCAGUGUAGACUAUAUAAAUGCUAAUCUUGUUAAGCUCGAACGUGCCGAACGUAAAUAUAUUCUAACACAAGGUCCGCUAGUCGACACCGUUGGCCACUUUUGGCUGAUGGUAUGGGAACAAAAUACUAAAGCCAUUCUUAUGCUGAACAAAUUGAUGGAGAAAAAGCAGGUCAAAUGUCAUCACUAUUGGCCGGAUAGAAAGGGCCCUGAAAAUGCAUUAAGAUUAAAUGAAGUUAACUUGACUGUUGAAUUUUUACGUUGUGAAGAGUAUCAGAACUUCUGCCGCAGAUGGUUCAAGCUAACAGAUCUUGAAUCGAAGACAAGCCGCGAGAUAUUACAAUUCCACUAUACAACAUGGCCGGACUUUGGUAUUCCCAGUUCACCAGUUGCGUUUUUACAAUUUUUAAAACAGGUGCGCGACUCUGGUGCACUCGAUGCGGAUGUGGGGCCCGCAGUGGUACACUGUAGCGCUGGAAUUGGGCGCUCUGGCACUUUUUGUUUAGUUGACUGCUGUCUAGUUUUGAUUGAAAAGGAAGGCGAGAGCAAAGUUUCUGUACAGGAUGUGCUCUAUGAAUUGCGCAGGUAUCGCAUGGGCCUAAUACAGACUGCAGAUCAAUUAUAUUUCUCAUAUCAGGCAGUUAUAGAGGGAAUCAAAUUGCUUAAGGAUCCAGAAUUUCUGAAUUACAAGGAGGAGCCAAUCAAUAGCAGUGACAAUGAGCACCACGAUCAGUAUGGCACAAUUGGUGGGGAUGUGCCACCACCUCUGCCUCCACGUACACAUUCCCUAGCACUGCCAAUGGCCGGCUGCAGCGCUGCCGGUGCACUAACGUUGAAUUUACAUGGCAAACCAUUACCAAAAAUACCGGCAAGCGCAAGUUUCAACGACGAACUAUACGCCAUGACCGACAAUGCACAACAUGCCAGCAAGGAUGCGUUGAAUAAUUUCAUAAACAACGAAAAAACUGCUGAAAACAUGUCCAACAGACCGCUACCACCACUACCACCACAGCCGCAACGCUCGCAAUCCUCGCUUGAACGCGUACAUGAAUCAGACAGCGAUGAAAAUGAGUUCUACGAAGACGAUAAUAGUGACGAUGACGAUAGUGAUGAUGAAGGACUUUAUAACUAUGACAAUUUGGACGAUAAGAACGCCAACGCCGUUAAUAAGCGGAGUAUAAGUAGUGAACGUGGUAGCGGCAGUGAUGGUGGCGGCGGCGGUGGUAAUGAGUUGUCAACGGAAAUUAAGCAAAAUGGCACUGAUGGCUCCAAUAGCAAUCCGCUCGUGAUCGGCAGUCCCGAAAAUGAGUUAAAACGGCGGAAACGUGUCGAACGACAGGCCAACAUCGAACAGAAAGUUAACGAGAUCAAGCGAAAACAGCGCGAAACGGAGGAAAGCAAGCAUGCGGCGAAGAAACGAAGGUCAUUAAUUACCUAUAUUGCGGCGGGUGUUGUUGUGGGUGUGAUUUGUGUGUAUGCAUAUUCGAAGCUAGCCUAAGGCCAAACAAGUUUAAACAAAUAAGGAAUGGUAAAUACAUAUAUCGGUUUUCGGAUUUUUUGCUGGCUGGGACAUCAAUUAAAUGCAAGCACGGUGAAAUGCCAAAUCGGGGCUUAGUUGCGCAAAUAAGGCAUUUUCAUCAACUCUAGUUUACAAAUUAAAGAGACUGAUGAUUGCCUUGAGUUUUGUUUGCUUGCAGAAAAACAAAAAACUCACAAUAAAUCUAGGCAUGCGCAGUAAAAACGUGUAAUUUCCCCUCGAGAUCGGUAAUUGGUACAAACUUUAAUUUUUUUGGAUGUUCGAAAAAUCUAAAUCCGAUAGAAUUUCGCGCCACCAAAUGAAAUGAGGAAUCAAUUC
This 1905-nucleotide unclassified non-coding RNA is filed under the name Rhagoletis pomonella (apple maggot). RNAcentral describes it as "tyrosine-protein phosphatase non-receptor type 61F- like, transcript variant X13". The record is from RNAcentral. Lineage: Eukaryota; Metazoa; Arthropoda; Insecta; Diptera; Tephritidae.